This 400-nucleotide unclassified non-coding RNA is filed under the name plant metagenome. RNAcentral describes it as "partial contains small subunit ribosomal RNA and internal transcribed spacer 1". The stretch from base 1 to 53 matches the Rfam family "Eukaryotic small subunit ribosomal RNA", at positions 1778 to 1831 of the family's 1831-position model. The record is from RNAcentral.
GGAAGUAAAAGUCGUAACAGGGAACCGUAGGUGAACCUGCGGUUGGAUCAUUAGCGAAAAACAAAAGAAAGCUCUGGGUUCCCUCUGGCGACAGAGGGGUCGGACUUUUUUUUUCACCCCCUUGUGAACCGUUUAUUGUAUUUUGGCAGCCCUCUUUGACACCUUGAGAGAAACGCGGAGAACGCAGCUGCGCUUCGGGGUAGCGGUGGUUUCCGCUGCGUCUUGACAGUGUGCUUGGGCUGUCAGCUGUGCUGUUAACCACACCAGUGUUUAUGUCCUUACAUCAAUGUCUCCCAAAGCAACUAACUCUCUGGCACGUUAAAAAAGGAAACGUGUUGGAAAGCUAUUGCGACUUUAUUAAGUUGAUAAACAACUUUUGACAAUGGAUCUCUUGGCUCUC